GCCUGAAUGGCCAAGUGGUAAGGCACUGCACUUGUACGACGUGGUCCCUAUGGAACCAGACUUCGGCAAUGCAGCGAUCGUUCGUUCGAUCCGGACUUUAGGCA
This is a non-coding RNA of Naganishia vaughanmartiniae, 104 nucleotides long. Lineage: Eukaryota; Fungi; Basidiomycota; Tremellomycetes; Filobasidiales; Filobasidiaceae. The record is from the annotation of a GenBank genome assembly.